Molecule: long non-coding RNA, 1160 nt
Organism: Carassius carassius (crucian carp)
Lineage: Eukaryota; Metazoa; Chordata; Actinopteri; Cypriniformes; Cyprinidae
Exons: 3
Source: RefSeq, a predicted model, not a curated record
CAGCAUCAGAGAACCGGAGCAUCAGUUUUCAACCCACGCAGCUGGAUAACUGAAAUGAUGAAUCGUUGCGUUGAAUCUCAUCAGGUCCUUCUGGGUCAGAAAAAAUUUGUCAAGAUAACUGCAGUCAACAUCAGAAGGAAAAAUCGGCCAAGCGACACAACAGGAUAGGAUGUACAGUACACAGUGAAUGGGAAAUUAUACCUUUCUGACAAUAUGAAUCCUGCAUCCUGCUGACUCAAACUGGGCACAAGAAUUGCAUGGUUUGUUCGGAGGACAAAGUUCCCAAAGGGACUGUCUGAGUGAGUCGAUGAACAUGAGCAUUACAGAGGAAAAACGAGACGAUGGAUGGAUGAAAAGAUGGAUGGCUGCGUGGAAUAGCUCUAGGGCUUUUCUGAGAGGAAACAUUACUGUAACAUGAUCCAGCAAGAAGCACAUACAAAGGUAUUUCACUCAAAAAUGUCAUAAUACUUAUGUUGCUAGAAACCUGUAUGUUCAGUAUUCUGUAGAACACAAGAAUAUACUGUUUUGACAAUACAUAGCAAACAAACACAUUAAAGCACCAUGACAGGAUUAUAAAAGUAGUCGAUUUACUCAUGAGCUGUGUUUCAAGUGUUCUAAAGCCAUAUUAUAACAUUAAGUCAAUAAAAUACAGAAAUUCAAGUCAUUAUUUGAUGAUAAUCUUGGACUUUCUGGUGACUAAAUGACGGAAUUGACCAAACUUUUCCUUCUUAACUAAAUGAAUGUGUUAAUUCUAAACCAGAAUGUGUUAGAUUAUGAGUAGUUCUACUGUUUUAAUUGGAUAAGUUAAAUAUGUAAAUGAUUCAGCUACGUCCCUCACACACACAUGCACAAAAUGAAUAAUAAACUAUUUGAAUCAUACUUCUGUACAUAAUGUGCCGUUGCUUCUGCAUUAUUCACCAUUACUUCAAACUGUCAUUUUUUUUAAUGGAGAAAAACUACAACUGAAGCACAGAGAGAGAGGGAGAUCUAUUCUUACACAAUGACUCAGCACAUCCAGUCUUACACACACACACUGACACUAUACUGUGCUUGUACAUUACAAUUUCUCUUUCUUACUUUGUAUGUUUUUGUUCAUCUCUUGGAAUGGUUUUGGUGUCAGGUUUGUGAGAAUUGCUCUAAAAGCUUUUCAGGGAAUUCAU